Molecule: ribosomal RNA, 253 nt
Filed under: uncultured bacterium
Lineage: Bacteria
Description: partial 16S ribosomal RNA
Rfam family: Bacterial small subunit ribosomal RNA
Source: RNAcentral
UACGGAGGGUGCAAGCGUUGCUCGGAAUUAUUGGGCGUAAAGGGUAGGUAGGUGGUCUUAUUUGUCUGGGGUGAAAGCCUUGAGCUUAACUCAAGAAGUGCCCCAGAAACGGUAAGACUAGAGUCCUAGAGAGGGUCGUGGAAUUCCCGGUGUAGCGGUGAAAUGCGUAGAGAUCGGGAGGAACACCAGAGGCGAAAGCGGCGACCUGGACAGGUACUGACACUCAACUACGAAAGCGUGGGGAGCAAACAGG